This 841-nucleotide long non-coding RNA is filed under the name Mustela putorius furo (domestic ferret). RNAcentral's name for it is "lncRNA (ENSMPUG00000030399.1)". Lineage: Eukaryota; Metazoa; Chordata; Mammalia; Carnivora; Mustelidae. The record is from RNAcentral.
NNNNNGUCAUUUGCAAGUAUCUUCUCCCAUUCCGUGGGUUGCCUCUUUGUUUUCUUGACUGUUUCCUUUGCUGUGCAGAAGCUUUUGAUUUUGAUGAAGCGUCACUCAGUCUCACCACAGGAAGUGGACUCUUCAUGCCCUUCCUCUGCCCCACACGGCCUCCACCCACCUCCCCUCUGGCAAGCAUUCACUUCUUCAUUGAGGUUCAAAGCAUCCAGGUUGCUCCUAUCAAUGCUGAAAGCCAGAAAGCGAAUUUCACAAGAGCAUCGGAGACUGGCAACAAGGUUUACUUUGCUCCUACCUUCCAGGGCUUGGUACUCAGGCCCUGCCAGCCUGAGGAAUUCUAAUACAAUAUGUUCACAGGUGUAUCCUCGACCCCCGCCACAAAAAAUUCAUGUCCCCUGGACAGAAGCAGGACUUUUAGAUUAUAAAACCUUUUUACUUCCACUUUGAGAAGGUCCCAACUUUGUAGUUCAGAUGUCUCUGGUGAUCGGAGUGGCCCAGUGAACAACCGGAACAAAGAUUGUCUACUUGUGAGCUACUGUGCUGAUUUCUCUGAAGUGCACAUUUAGUUGUUCAGGAAAAGGGGCAGUUUUCAUUCUCAAUGACUCCAAGUUAGAAAGGUGUGAGAAAACUCAAAACGUUAGUGUGGAGACUAACUGUUUUCGGAUGUUAACUAACUAGUUAACUAACUAGUUAACUAACUAGACUGUUAAGGUGGUGGAAAACACUAGAAGAAACCUGGUCCUAGUCACGUUUAUAAUGAUUAGUAUUAAAAUCUAGUAGGUACCACGAUGUGUUAUUGAAACAUCUUUUGUCUCUAGGCACCCUCAUUGUUACC